AGACGACGCUGGCGGCGUGCCUAACACAUGCAAGUCGAGCGGGGUAGCCGGAAGGUGUAGCGAUACAGCGGAGGGGUACCUAGCGGCGAACGGGUGAGUAACGCGUGGGCAAUCUGCCCCCGGGGCGGAUAACAGACCGAAAGGCCUGCUAAUACCGCAUGAAGCCGUCCUAUCGCAUGAUAAGAUGGUAAAAGGGGAAACCCGCCUGGGGAGGAGCCCGCGUCCCAUUAGCUAGUUGGUGGUGUAAAGGACCACCAAGGCGAUGAUGGGUAGCCGGCCUGAGAGGGUGAACGGCCACAUUGGGACUGAGACACGGUCCAGACUCCUACGGGAGGCAGCAGUGGGGAAUCUUCCGCAAUGGGCGCAAGCCUGACGGAGCAACGCCGCGUGAGUGAAGAAGGCCUUCGGGUUGUAAAACUCUGUCUUCAGGGAAGAAAAAAAUGACGGUACCUGAGGAGGAAGCCCCGGCUAACUACGUG
Molecule: ribosomal RNA, 479 nt
Filed under: uncultured bacterium
Lineage: Bacteria
Description: bacterial SSU rRNA
Rfam family: Bacterial small subunit ribosomal RNA
Source: RNAcentral